RNAcentral lists this ribosomal RNA (692 nucleotides) under uncultured Alphaproteobacteria bacterium. RNAcentral's name for it is "bacterial SSU rRNA". It matches the Rfam family "Bacterial small subunit ribosomal RNA", at positions 20 to 758 of the family's 1533-position model. The record is from RNAcentral. Lineage: Bacteria; Pseudomonadati; Pseudomonadota; Alphaproteobacteria.
UGGCUCAGAGCGAACGCUGGCGGCAGGCUUAACACAUGCAAGUCGAACGGGCCCUUCGGGGUCAGUGGCAGACGGGUGAGUAACACGUGGGAACGUGCCCUUCGGUUCGGAACAACUCAGGGAAACUUGAGCUAAUACCGGAUACGCCCUUCGGGGGAAAGAUUUAUCGCUGAAGGAUCGGCCCGCGUCUGAUUAGCUAGUUGGUGAGGUAAUGGCUCACCAAGGCGACGAUCAGUAGCUGGUCUGAGAGGAUGAUCAGCCACACUGGGACUGAGACACGGCCCAGACUCCUACGGGAGGCAGCAGUGGGGAAUAUUGGACAAUGGGCGCAAGCCUGAUCCAGCCAUGCCGCGUGAGUGAUGAAGGCCUUAGGGUUGUAAAGCUCUUUCGUCCGGGACGAUAAUGACGGUACCGGAAGAAGAAGCCCCGGCUAACUUCGUGCCAGCAGCCGCGGUAAUACGAAGGGGGCUAGCGUUGCUCGGAAUCACUGGGCGUAAAGGGCGCGUAGGCGGCCAUUCAAGUCAGAGGUGAAAGCCCAAGGCUCAACCUUGGAAUUGCCUUUGAUACUGUUUGGCUUGAGACCGGAAGAGGUAAGUGGAACUGCGAGUGUAGAGGUGAAAUUCGUAGAUAUUCGCAAGAACACCAGUGGCGAGGGCGGCUUACUGGUCCGGUUCUGACGCUGAGGCGCGAAA